Molecule: ribosomal RNA, 305 nt
Filed under: uncultured bacterium
Lineage: Bacteria
Description: bacterial SSU rRNA
Rfam family: Bacterial small subunit ribosomal RNA
Source: RNAcentral
CCUACGGGGGGCAGCAGUGAGGAAUAUUGGUCAAUGGGCGUAAGCCUGAACCAGCCAAGUCGCGUGAGGGAUGAAGGUUCUAUGGAUCGUAAACCUCUUUUAUAAGGGAAUAAAGUGCGGGACGUGUCCCGUUUUGUAUGUACCUUAUGAAUAAGGAUCGGCUAACUCCGUGCCAGCAGCCGCGGUAAUACGGAGGAUCCGAGCGUUAUCCGGAUUUAUUGGGUUUAAAGGGUGCGUAGGCGGCCUUUUAAGUCAGCGGUGAAAGUCUGUGGCUCAACCAUAGAAUUGCCGUUGAAACUGGGAGG